Molecule: ribosomal RNA, 451 nt
Filed under: uncultured bacterium
Lineage: Bacteria
Description: partial 16S ribosomal RNA
Rfam family: Bacterial small subunit ribosomal RNA
Source: RNAcentral
GUGGGGAAUAUUGGACAAUGGGGGGAACCCUGAUCCAGCCAUGCCGCGUGUGUGAAGAAGGCCUUUUGGUUGUAAAGCACUUUAAGCGAGGAGGAGGCUACCGAGAUUAAUACUCUUGGAUAGUGGACGUUACUCGCAGAAUAAGCACCGGCUAACUCUGUACCAGCAGCCGCGGUAAUACAGAGGGUGCAAGCGUUAAUCGGAUUUACUGGGCGUAAAGCGCGCGUAGGUGGCCAAUUAAGUCAAAUGUGAAAUCCCCGAGCUUAACUUGGGAAUUGCAUUCGAUACUGGUUGGCUAGAGUAUGGGAGAGGAUGGUAGAAUUCCAGGUGUAGCGGUGAAAUGCGUAGAGAUCUGGAGGAAUACCGAUGGCGAAGGCAGCCAUCUGGCCUAAUACUGACACUGAGGUGCGAAAGCAUGGGGAGCAAACAGGAUUAGAUACCCCGGUAGUCC